GCGUUUAUGGCGAAGCUGGUUAACGCACACGAUUGUGAAUCGUGCACUCUUCGGUUCAAGUCCGAAUAGACGCCCCA
Molecule: transfer RNA, 77 nt
Filed under: Mycoplasmataceae bacterium
Lineage: Bacteria; Bacillati; Mycoplasmatota; Mollicutes; Mycoplasmatales; Mycoplasmataceae
Description: tRNA-His
Rfam family: tRNA
About the family: Transfer RNA (tRNA) molecules are approximately 80 nucleotides in length.
Source: RNAcentral